UGCUCAUCCAGAGGGGUGGAGGGACCGGCCCUGCGAAGCCCCGGCAACCUCCCCGGUGUCGAACUCGUGCCCACGAGGCCCGGCCGGGACAGGUGCCAAUUCCGGCUCGCGGCCAGGGUGGUCGCGAGCGAAGAUGAGGG
Molecule: non-coding RNA, 140 nt
Filed under: Microbispora rosea
Lineage: Bacteria; Bacillati; Actinomycetota; Actinomycetes; Streptosporangiales; Streptosporangiaceae
Description: SAM-I sequence
Rfam family: SAM riboswitch aptamer (S box leader)
About the family: The SAM riboswitch is found upstream of a number of genes which code for proteins involved in methionine or cysteine biosynthesis in Gram-positive bacteria. The SAM riboswitch acts at the level of transcription termination control.
Source: RNAcentral